GACGAAAGCUGGCGGCGUGCUUAACACAUGCAAGUCGAACGAUGAAGCUAGAGCUUGCUCUGGUGAAUUAGUGGCGAACGGGUGAGUAACACGUGAGUAACCUGCCCCGAACUCUGGGAUAACUGCUGGAAACUGUAGCUAAUACCGGAUACUUUCACUGGAAGGCAUCUUCUGGUGAAGCAAGAAUUUCGGUCAAGGAUGAGCUCGCGGCCUAUCAGCUUGUUGGUGAGGUAACGGCUCACCAACGCGACGACGGGUAGCCGGCCUGGGAGGGUGACCGGCCACACUGGGACUGAGACACGGCCCAGACUCCUACGGGAGGCAGCAGUGGGGAAUAUUGCACAAUGGGCGCAAGCCUGAUGCAGCAAUGCCGCGUGAGUGAUGAAGGCCUUAGGGUUGUAAAGCUCUUUCGUCCGGGACGAUAAUGACGGUACCGGAAGAAGAAGCCCCGGCUAACUUCGUGCCAGCCGCCGCGGUAA
Molecule: ribosomal RNA, 479 nt
Filed under: uncultured bacterium
Lineage: Bacteria
Description: partial 16S ribosomal RNA
Rfam family: Bacterial small subunit ribosomal RNA
Source: RNAcentral